AUUUUUGUCUUUCUUUUUUUUAACUUCUUUCCUAUCAUGUCUGCCUGCCUUGGUGGACAAGAUGCCUUGCUUCUAAUGUCACAUUGUCUCUUGCCCCAGGAAAGUGGAACUGAGAAGUGCCCCAGCAGGCAAGGACUGCAGUCCUGCGUCCGUCCGUCCCCAACUUCCUUCUACAUCUUCAUCAGGGCUUCCUGCACUUCCAGCAGCAACUCUUAAGAAUUCACCCUGAACUCUAACCCCAUUGAACUAGAUGAGUUCCAGUUCCCCAGAGACAAACCCACCAGAAACCACCACACAGGUCCGGCUGACCGAUGGAGAAACUUCUCAAAGCACAAUGGAACACCUGUGACGAAUGUGGGUCUUACAGGGGUCUCUGAUGAUUUUUACUUUCCUCCUGCUGCUGUUCUGCAUUGUUUGGAUUUGUUUCCCAGCUAUUCUUUUUACCAAAAUAGGAGACUUCAUGGAACACCUGGGAUCUAUCAACGUUUAAACGUAGAGAGCCUCGAACUCUGGAUUAAGUAAACCUUUCCUCCUGCGAUUUGUUACAAAACUAUUCACCACCCUCACUACUGCCAUCAGCAUCCCUGACAGGGAACUCAACCCUCUCCGGCAGUGCCCGGC
Non-coding RNA from Callorhinus ursinus (northern fur seal), 621 nucleotides. NCBI's taxonomy places the organism in Eukaryota, Metazoa, Chordata, Mammalia, Carnivora, Otariidae. The record is from RefSeq and is a predicted model, not a curated record.